RNAcentral lists this ribosomal RNA (460 nucleotides) under uncultured bacterium. RNAcentral's name for it is "partial 16S ribosomal RNA". It matches the Rfam family "Bacterial small subunit ribosomal RNA", at positions 338 to 795 of the family's 1533-position model. The record is from RNAcentral.
CCUACGGGUGGCAGCAGUGAGGAAUAUUGGUCAAUGGACGAGAGUCUGAACCAGCCAAGUAGCGUGAAGGAUGACUGCCCUAUGGGUUGUAAACUUCUUUUAUAUGGGAAUAAAAUGUUCCACGUGUGGGAUUUUGUAUGUACCAUAUGAAUAAGGAUCGGCUAACUCCGUGCCAGCAGCCGCGGUAAUACGGAGGAUCCGAGCGCUAUCCGGAUUUAUUGGGUUUAAAGGGAGCGUAGGUGGAUUGUUAAGUCAGUUGUGAAAGUUUGCGGCUCAACCGUAAAAUUGCAGUUGAAACUGGCAGUCUUGAGUACAGUAGAGGUGGGCGGAAUUCGUGGUGUAGCGGUGAAAUGCUUAGAUAUCACGAAGAACUCCGAUUGCGAAGGCAGUUCACUGGACCGCAACUGACACUGAGGCUCGAAAGUGUGGGUAUCAAACAGGAUUAGAUACCCCAGUAGUC